Molecule: ribosomal RNA, 356 nt
Filed under: Staphylococcus aureus
Lineage: Bacteria; Bacillati; Bacillota; Bacilli; Caryophanales; Staphylococcaceae
Description: partial 23S ribosomal RNA
Rfam family: Bacterial large subunit ribosomal RNA
Source: RNAcentral
GUAGAAUGAACCGGCGAGUUACGAUUUGAUGCAAGGUUAAGCAGUAAAUGUGGAGCCGUAGCGAAAGCGAGUCUGAAUAGGGCGUUUAGUAUUUGGUCGUAGACCCGAAACCAGGUGAUCUACCCUUGGUCAGGUUGAAGUUCAGGUAACACUGAAUGGAGGACCGAACCGACUUACGUUGAAAAGUGAGCGGAUGAACUGAGGGUAGCGGAGAAAUUCCAAUCGAACCUGGAGAUAGCUGGUUCUCUCCGAAAUAGCUUUAGGGCUAGCCUCAAGUGAUGAUUAUUGGAGGUAGAGCACUGUUUGGACGAGGGGCCCCUCUCGGGUUACCGAAUUCAGACAAACUCCGAAUGCCA